Picea glauca (white spruce) is the source of this 121-nucleotide non-coding RNA. The record is from Rfam. NCBI's taxonomy places the organism in Eukaryota, Viridiplantae, Streptophyta, Pinopsida, Pinales, Pinaceae.
ACAUGCUUACAACAUAGCGUUCAUGCAAAAAAUUCCAUUAGAAUUUCGGAGUUAAGCGUGCUUGGGAUAGAGUAGUAUUGAGAUGGGUAACUGCCCUAGAUGUCCUAGUGUUUUACAUGCC